CAAACAAAACAGGGGAGCUUCCGCUGAGAGGGGAUAUCACUUAUAUCUCGACCCUUUAGCUGAUUCGGAUAAUGCCGACGUAGCGAGUUUUAGACAACAAAUU
This 103-nucleotide non-coding RNA is filed under the name Clostridiales bacterium S5-A14a. Its description in RNAcentral is "TPP riboswitch aptamer (THI element)". It matches the Rfam family "TPP riboswitch aptamer (THI element)". Rfam says of the family: Vitamin B(1) in its active form thiamin pyrophosphate (TPP) is an essential coenzyme that is synthesised by coupling of pyrimidine and thiazole moieties in bacteria. The previously detected thiamin-regulatory element, thi box was extended, resulting in a new, highly conserved RNA secondary structure, the THI element, which is widely distributed in eubacteria and also occurs in some archaea. Lineage: Bacteria; Bacillati; Bacillota; Clostridia; Peptostreptococcales; Anaerovoracaceae. RNAcentral also lists the same sequence under 1 other name. The record is from Rfam by way of RNAcentral.